RNAcentral lists this ribosomal RNA (465 nucleotides) under uncultured bacterium. Its description in RNAcentral is "partial 16S ribosomal RNA". It matches the Rfam family "Bacterial small subunit ribosomal RNA", at positions 338 to 795 of the family's 1533-position model. The record is from RNAcentral.
CCUACGGGAGGCAGCAGUGGGGAAUAUUGCGCAAUGGGCGAAAGCCUGACGCAGCGACGCCGCGUGAGGGAUGAAGGUCUUCGGAUCGUAAACCUCUGUCAGCAGGGAAGAACGGUCACUGUGCUAAUCAGCAGUGAAUUGACGGUACCUGCAACGGAAGCACCGGCUAAAUCCGUGUCAGCAGCCGCGGUAAUACGGAGGGUGCGAGCGUUAAUCGGAAUUACUGGUGGUAAAGCGCUCGUAGGCGGUAUGUCAAGUCAAGGGGGACAUCCCCGCGCUCAACGUGGGAACUGCCUUUGAAACUGGCGAACUGGAGUGUGGGAGAGGAUAGUGGAAUGCCAGGUGUAGGAGUGAAAUCCGUAGAUAUCGGGAGGAACAUCAGUGGCGAAGGCGACUAUCUGGCACAUAACUGACGCUGAGGAGCGAAAGCGUGGGUAGCAAACAGGAUUAGAUACCCUUGUAGUC